This 458-nucleotide ribosomal RNA is filed under the name uncultured bacterium. RNAcentral describes it as "bacterial SSU rRNA". It matches the Rfam family "Bacterial small subunit ribosomal RNA", at positions 340 to 787 of the family's 1533-position model. The record is from RNAcentral.
UACGGAAGGCAGCAGUGGGGAAUAUUGCACAAUGGGCGCAAGCCUGAUGCAGCCAUGCCGCGUGUAUGAAGAAGGCCUUCGGGUUGUAAAGUACUUUCAGCGGGGAGGAAGGCGAUGCGGUUAAUAACCGCGUCGAUUGACGUUACCCGCAGAAGAAGCACCGGCUAACUCCGUGCCAGCAGCCGCGGUAAUACGGAGGGUGCAAGCGUUAAUCGGAAUUACUGGGCGUAAAGCGCACGCAGGCGGUCUGUUAAGUCAGAUGUGAAAUCCCCCGGGCUUAACCUGGGAACUGCAUUUUGAAACUGGCAGGCUUGAGUCUUGUAGAGGGGGUGAAAUUCCAGGUGUAGCGGUGAAAUGCGUAGAGAUCUGGAGGAAUACCGGUGGCGAAGGCGGCCCCUGGGACAAAGACUGACGCUCAGGUGCGAAAGCAUGGGGAGCAAACAGGAUUUAGGAUAACC